Molecule: long non-coding RNA, 319 nt
Organism: Vitis riparia (riverbank grape)
Lineage: Eukaryota; Viridiplantae; Streptophyta; Magnoliopsida; Vitales; Vitaceae
Exons: 3
Source: RefSeq, a predicted model, not a curated record
UUGGUUGGUUUUGACUGCAUUUUCUCUUAGUUGUUGCUGUGCUCUUGGAUUCUCCAUUUGGGUGGGUCUACUUGGAUUGCAUUUCUCUGUGCAAUUGGGUCUGUGAUUUUUCUGAUUGGAGCGUGUGAUCUGGGGCUUCUAGUGCCUUUGCUCAGUUAGUAAAGCAGCAGAAGGCACCAUUUGUUCAAGAACACAGUUCAAACAUUUAGGAGCCAUUUGGGGUUGACAGCAAACAGUUGUGGCUUUAGGGGAAGGAGGGGCUGUGGCCUGUUAAAAAGGCUGUCCUGGGUGGGAGAGUCAGUCUUCGUGUUCAAAGACC